Paramuricea clavata is the source of this 1264-nucleotide non-coding RNA. NCBI's taxonomy places the organism in Eukaryota, Metazoa, Cnidaria, Anthozoa, Malacalcyonacea, Plexauridae. The record is from the annotation of a GenBank genome assembly.
CACGAAAUUCUAAAAAACUGCAUGCAGGUAAGUACGCGUGACAAUAACUGAAAUCGAAUUUAGCGUACAAAAAUCUACAGUAUUAUGUAAAUUAAAAUUAGUACCCGAGGUUGGACAACAAUUUUUUUUUCGAGCGACUGUUUAAGACAGAGAAUACGGCCUAAAUUGUUUGAUGACUUUUGCAUUGAAAAUUAUUUAGUUAAGGAGGCUGCCUAGUUAUUUGUAGCAGUGGCGCCGCCAGCUCGAUAAUUGGGGGAGGGGCGAUAUUCAUAUAUUCGUGUUCACAGACCAUAAAAACAAUCGAUUUCAAAAUAAAUUAAUAAUGCAGAACACGAAGAUAUGAAUAUUCGCCCCCCCCCCCACACAAUUAUCGAGCUGGCGGCGCCACUGAUUAGUAGACUUUGAAGUUGAUUUAGUCAAACGUCAUUCUCGUGUCGUGCGCGUGGAGAAUUCGUGAAUCGUGGUUGGUUUUACACAAGUCGGCGAAAUAAUUUGUGCUUUUAUAUAUCUUGAAAAAAACGACAAAAUCAUACGUAGCUGAAAUUAAAAAGUAUGUAUGUUGUUAACAAGUUUUUAAACUUUUGUUUAGCAUGUCUUUCACGUUUUAACGUUUAGUAUUGUUUUUUAAAAUGUUCAAAAUAAAUAAUAUUGUAAUAUUGUAGCGAUUUAAAACUUGAUUGUUUGAAAAUGGUGGACUACAAAUAAUUACGUGUCACCGUUAAUAUCGUCGCAUUCAACUUGAAUCGUCUGGUGUUUUGUAUUAUAAAUGCGAUCCACUUCAUGAAACAGAUCUUUAGCGAAAUAAGUUUAAUCGUCUUGAGAAUUUUUACCGUUUUUCAAUAGAAUCACAACAAGUCCAAAUAUAAAAAAGUUCAGGGCAAAAUAGUUUUUCCAUUCUUACCGUUUCAGAUAUACAUGUACUGUCAACAACACUGUUCAGCAAGUUUUUCAACAACUGCAUCACUUUAACAUGCACUGGCUGGACAAUUCGACUAGGGCAUUGUAUAGACAAUCACCAUACGGAUCUUUACCAUAUGAUAUGGUAGAUGGGUGGGUUACCGAAUGCGUGAGGAGCAAUGGAUUUCAGGGAAGUUUGGAUGGAUUUGGAAUCUCCUUUUCCUUGAAAGAAAUUGAGUAACACUUUGCCAGGUAGUUGAUGACUUUUCGAGAAAAUGAUGAACAGUUGACAAAUUUAUUGCUUAAUUAUUUAUUUUGAAUUUAUCAAAAUAGAUAGAGAAAGAUAGAUUAAUAGUUUAUUGAAACA